RNAcentral lists this ribosomal RNA (468 nucleotides) under uncultured bacterium. RNAcentral's name for it is "partial 16S ribosomal RNA". It matches the Rfam family "Bacterial small subunit ribosomal RNA", at positions 28 to 507 of the family's 1533-position model. The record is from RNAcentral.
GACGAACGCUGGCGGCGUGCUUAACACAUGCAAGUCGAACGGAAAGGCCCUGCUUUUGUGGGGUGCUCGAGUGGCGAACGGGUGAGUAACACGUGAGUAACCUGCCCUUGACUUUGGUAUAACUUCAGGAAACUGGGGCUAAUACCGGAUAGGAGCUCCUGCUGCAUGGUGGGGGUUGGAAAGUUUCGGCGGUUGGGGAUGGACUCGCGGCUUAUCAGCUUGUUGGUGGGGUAGUGGCUUACCAAGGCUUUGACGGGUAGCCGGCCUGAGAGGGUGACCGGCCACAUUGGGACUGAGAUACGGCCCAGACUCCUACGGGAGGCAGCAGGGGGGAAUAUUGCACAAUGGGCGGAAGCCUGAUGCAGCAACGCCGCGUGCGGGAUGACGGCCUUCGGGUUGUAAACCGCUUUCGCCUGUGACGAAGCGUGAGUGACGGUAAUGGGUAAAGAAGCACCGGCUAACUACGUG